UUAACCAAAAACCAAGUAAUGAUUUUAUUUAAUGGUUAGACAAAACCCAAUACCAAACCAACCCACCCAAUAAAGCUGCCCAAGCAAAAAAAAUUAUUGAGCUUUCGAAUUUUCCCUUAAUGUCUAAGUCUUGCCCGUUUAUUUGGUCUGUUUCCUUUGUAUCUUCUUCUCUGUCAAACUCUGGAAAUGGCGGAACAAUAUCUUCUUCUCCAUCCAAAUAUCAAACCCUACCUCAAUCAUCUUUCAACCACCCAGAGCCACCAAGAUGCUCAAACCGCAAACAAACCUUCACCAAAUUUGCAAACCCCCUCCCCACAAACUUAAGUUGGAGCAUCUCUAUCCCUUUCUUUGAUAUCGCAAAGGCUAUGGCUUUAGAUUGGAUGAAUAAACAAAUGGCGGAGAUCUCGAGGUUUGCGGAUUCAUGAAUGAUAAGGCUGUUUGACUCCAACAUGCUCAUCAGCAACACUACGACAGUGAUAUGCUUAGAUGAUUAGCAUUCCCCAGACGUGACAUGGAGGAAGAAGAAAGGAGUGACAAUGCUUGACCCAAGAGCUAACGACUUCGAUCUUAUGUAUAAGCAGAUGAAGGCAAUCAAGGAAGGGAAGGCUGUUGAGAACCCUAUUUACAAGAAUGUUUCUGGUCGCUUGGAUCCUCCUGAGCUCAUCAAGUUCCCCCAAGAUUCUUGUCAUUGAAGGUUUACAUCCAAUCUGCAUGCUGCAAUCAUUGAACUGGAUACCAAGAUCAAGAAUGAUAACUCAUUAACCAAAAAAUGAUGAAGAUUAUAACUCUAGUUGGCCACUUGCGUUGCAUAUAAUCCCUUUAAAGAUGUAGUACGUACAUUUAUGUACUAAACCGAAAUCAACUGGAUGCAAACCAUGUUUCGGUGCCUCUUUUUUGACUUCUUAGUGUCUCUUGGGUUAUGAUUUUGAUAAAGACUCUGUAAGUUUACAUUCAUUAUGUUGUUCGUAAUCAUAGGUAUACUAGGCUAAAUUGGUAGGUUCUUAAUGUUCUGGAUGUGAAAAUUUUUGUUUCUGGGUAUUUGAAGUUUUUCAUUCCAGUCGGGCGUUAUGAGAGCAAAAAAGAAGUUGCCUAAGAGAGAGGAGGUUCUUCGGCGUAUCAAGCAGGUGCCUUUUUUGAAGGGAUGAGAAGCAUGUAUAUAUAUAAUAACAUAUGCAAAUAAAAUUGCAAUUUGAACUGCUAAGGUUUAGCCUUCAAUCAAAAUUACAGAUGUGGUGCAUCCAAGUUUCAGAAAUAGUGUUUUC
Molecule: long non-coding RNA, 1262 nt
Organism: Pyrus x bretschneideri (Chinese white pear)
Lineage: Eukaryota; Viridiplantae; Streptophyta; Magnoliopsida; Rosales; Rosaceae
Exons: 4
Source: RefSeq, a predicted model, not a curated record